Molecule: ribosomal RNA, 404 nt
Filed under: Actinomycetes bacterium
Lineage: Bacteria; Bacillati; Actinomycetota; Actinomycetes
Description: Actinobacteria bacterium partial 16S ribosomal RNA
Rfam family: Bacterial small subunit ribosomal RNA
Source: RNAcentral
UGGGGAAUAUUGGACAAUGGGCGCAAGCCUGAUCCAGCCAUGCCGCGUGAGUGAUGAAGGCCCUAGGGUUGUAAAGCUCUUUCACCGGUGACGAUAAUGACGGUAACCGGAGAAGAAGCCCCGGCUAACUUCGUGCCAGCAGCCGCGGUAAUACGAAGGGGGCUAGCGUUGUUCGGAUUUACUGGGCGUAAAGCGCACGUAGGCGGACUUUUAAGUCAGGGGUGAAAUCCCGGGGCUCAACCCCGGAACUGCCUUUGAUACUGGAAGUCUGGAUUAUGGUAGAGGUGAGUGGAAUUCCGAGUGGAGAGGUGAAAUUCGGAGAUAAUCGGAGGAACACCAGUGGCGAAGGCGGCUCACUGGACCAUUACUGACGCUGAGGUGCGAAAGCGUGGGGAGCAAACAGG